UUUGCAUUUGCAGAAUGCUUGCCUAGAUAAUGCUGAGUGCAGCAUAAAGAAAUACUACGUGUGCCCAUGGCACUGAUGAUCUCAGUUGGCUUCAUGGUGAAAUACAGGCACAGGGUGGCCCAGAUAAUAGGAUGACGAAUAGAACUACUUCAUCAUCUGUUGAGCCCUCAGUCCUACUCAGAGCUGCUUUUUCUCUGUUAAAAGAUGUUUUGUCCUGUUAUGUUAAGUCAUCUUGACAUACUGCCAUGAAAUGGAAAUAACUGCUAGUUUUAACUUUGUUCCGUAUCAUUAUUAAAAGAGUCAUCAAUCUCAUGAGAGUCAUCUUGCCAUCUGUACCAGCAUUGCUCCAGGCUUCCAUAUGAAAGUCCAAUCUGGCGGUAUAAAUACUGGAUAAUGAAGACACUAGCAGAGUCUUUACACUGCACACCACUGCUGACCCCAGAAAUGACCCACAGGAACUACUGGCGAAAGAAGCGAAAAGGUCAAUCAAUGAAACAGACUCCUGUAACACCACCUGCUAAUGCCAGGUUACACUUGAUUCUAGAUGAGCCACG
Molecule: long non-coding RNA, 554 nt
Filed under: Chrysolophus pictus (golden pheasant)
Lineage: Eukaryota; Metazoa; Chordata; Aves; Galliformes; Phasianidae
Description: lncRNA (ENSCPIG00010013143.1)
Source: RNAcentral